GAGACUUAGUUCAUGAUGACUCUAGGUGUGUGUCGUGUCGCGGAUGGAGUUGGUUGGACUGUGUUCGCGGAUGGAGUUUGUUGGACUGUGUGUCGCGGAUGGAGUUGGUCGGACUGUGUGUCGGUCAGAAUGUGUGUAGCGAAUGGAGCCGGUUGGACUGUGUGUCGCGCAAAUAAAGUUGGUUGGACGUUGUCGCGAAUGGGGUUGGGGGCUGUCAUCGAGAUGGAGCAUCGGUCGCAUGAAAGACUUCAAUAGGUUUUCCGGGUGUUGGGGUAAUGGCCAAACCUGGCCUAAAUCUCAGGUUCUUGACCAGGAAAAGGUUAGAAUAGAAAGCAAUUUACUCGGCGGCAAAGGCGGUUCGACCUUCAAUACAACAAUAGCUGCAAUUGUAAGCAGUAAUGAUGUCCGGCGCAGUGGCUUAGUGGUUUA
Ciona intestinalis (vase tunicate) is the source of this 429-nucleotide non-coding RNA. Lineage: Eukaryota; Metazoa; Chordata; Ascidiacea; Phlebobranchia; Cionidae. The record is from RefSeq and is a predicted model, not a curated record.